This 329-nucleotide unclassified non-coding RNA is filed under the name soil metagenome. RNAcentral's name for it is "partial contains 5.8S ribosomal RNA, internal transcribed spacer 2, and large subunit ribosomal RNA". The stretch from base 1 to 120 matches the Rfam family "5.8S ribosomal RNA", at positions 35 to 154 of the family's 154-position model. The record is from RNAcentral.
GAUGAAGAACGCAGCGAAAUGCGAUAAGUAGUGUGAAUUGCAGAAUUCAGUGAAUCAUCGAAUCUUUGAACGCACAUUGCGCCCCCUGGUAUUCCGGGGGGCAUGCCUGUCCGAGCGUCAUUACAACCCUCAAGCUCAGCUUGGUGUUGGGCCCCGCCGCCCCGGCGGGCCCUAAAGUCAGUGGCGGUGCCGUCCGGCUCCGAGCGUAGUAAUUCUUCUCGCUCUGGAGGUCCGGUCGUGUGCUCGCCAGCAACCCCCAAUUUUUUUCAGGUUGACCUCGGAUCAGGUAGGGUUACCCGCUGAACUUAAGCAUAUCAAUAAGCGGAGGA